UCACUGCUCCCAGAACCACAGCCGCCGUUUUCUCACUGCAAUAUUUACUUUUCAGCUUCUGGCAACAAAUGGCCACAAACCGAUCAAAGGUGAAAGUGACGGUGAACCAGACAGAGCAGUCAGUGGCUGCAUAAAGCAGGACGGCGUGGAUAUUACACACGCGGACGGAGUCCCUCAGGAAAUAAAACUGUUCCCGAUAAACAAUGGGGAUGUGUCUCAGGAUCAGGUCGAGGAUAAUGACCAGGAGAUCCGCCGCUGCCAUGGCCCCCAGCAGGAACAUAAAAGCAUAUCUUCAAAUCGACCGAGACCAUUUUCUGCUCAGGGUAUGGCUCUGUGAAUGACAGCAGCAAUGAUGCACCGACAUGGGACAGGGAAUGUGAUGGAGACAUCGUUUGGACAAUGUACAUGGAAUAAUAUCUGGACAAAGUUCUUUCAAGUUACAAUUGCAGAGGUGUGUGUGUGUGUGUGUGUGUGUGUGUGUGUGUGUGUGUGUGUGUGUGUGUGUGUGUGUGUGUGUGUGUGUUAUAGAAAGGGAAAUAUUGAUUAUAUAUU
Long non-coding RNA from Hemiscyllium ocellatum (epaulette shark), 552 nucleotides. RefSeq lists it as uncharacterized. The transcript is spliced from 2 exons. Lineage: Eukaryota; Metazoa; Chordata; Chondrichthyes; Orectolobiformes; Hemiscylliidae. The record is from RefSeq and is a predicted model, not a curated record.